GCCCAUGUGGAUCGACCCGAAUCGACCUGAAAUUUUGUUUUUGGGUUAUCUGAAAAUAAGAGGGAAAAGAAGAGAUAUGUAAUGAAUUUGAAACUUGGGAGGAACAGUUACUGUUCCACUUUCCCAUAUAUUUGGAACCCAUCUCUUCCUUCUGAACAAGAUAUAACAGUAACGAACCAAAACCCAAAAAAAAAACAAAAAUUGAAAGGCAUCUAGUUUGUAAAUUUUUAUUCCGUUUUCAAGAGAAUCGAAAUUCACUUGGAGCGAUUCUUUUGGUGGCAAAAUCAUCUUCUUCCGCUGCAACAUAUCAAGGUAAACACUGAUUUUGCUCUGUUUUUUCUUUCAGCGGCAUCAGAGACUACGUUGAAUUGCCCUGUCUUAAUGUUAUUUCUUGAGUUCAGUGUGCAAAAAUUCUUGAAAAGAUCGUAAAUUAACAGUACCUAUAAAAUUUUUGGUCUCCGGUUAAACGCGCCGCUAGUUCGGUCAGACGCUGAUUAUCCGGUCAAAAGCGUCACAACUCCGGUAAGACGUGUCGUUGAUCCGGUCAUAAGCGCUGCCAAUCUCGUAAGACGUGCCGUUGCAUUAUUUUAUAAGAAUCCCCAAAAGAGUUGGUCGUUUUGUUGGGCACGGGCGGUGCUGAGGCAGGCUACGCCGGAGAAAUGGGGACGGCAGCUAUUGAUCGCCAAUUAUGGUAUUUUCAGACCGUUUUUGGCGAUGAUUUCGCCGGUGAUGGGUGGAGUCGGUGGAGGAAAGUGGAUUUCGGAUUUGGAAUGGCUGAAUUCGGUGAGGGACAAAUGAUUACGGUGAAAAAUUUGCCUGAAAACUUAAAAUCUAUUUGCGUGAAAAUGGGCCCUUAUUAUUUUUUGGUCUUUGUCACAUAUGACUGUGCAAUUUGCAAUAUGUCUUUUCUUGAUGAAGAUGAAGAUUGUUUCUUAACCUUUUUCUUUUGGGUGAAGUAUAUUGUUUCUUAACCUUUUUCUUUUGGGUGAAGUAUACGAUAAUUGACUAUUCUAGAUAAUAGUGUCUAGAAAAUAGUGCAAUUAAUAUUAGCACUAUAUUUUAUAUUUUCACUAAUAGUUCCACUACUGUUCAUAUUAUUUAUAUAAGAAUAGAUGUUAAGAAGCAUUAAAUGAACUAGUUAUAUUUUUAGUGGAAAUGGAUAAUAAUAUUUUUAUGGCUUAAGUCAUCAAUAGGCAUUCUAAGUUGUACCGAAAAUUUACUUAAACCCCUCAACUAAGGCCUAUACCUAUCAGACCCCUAACUCACUUGAAUUUUGAUCCAAUUAGGUCUUUUUUGCCUACAUGGCACACCGCGUAUAAUGUAAUUGCGGGAGAUGCGUGAGCAAUGAUUCUUUUCACUAAAUCACAAAUAGAAAGGUGACAAGUGGCACUGAGGGCCCCAAAAAAAUUUUAAUAAAUAAAAUUUAAAAAAAAACACUAACGGCCCCUAAAAAAAUUUAAUAAAAUAAUUCUUUUUAAAAUAAAGCCUCCAACAUAUCCCCCUCCCCCAUCUGAUACCCCUCUUCAUCUUCUUCUCCAUUCUUCUUCCUCAUUCUUUUUUUUUCUUAAAACUUAUUUCUCCUCCCAUUUUUUCUACUUUUUCUCCUUUCUUGUUCUUACUUUUGAAUUAAUGUUUGUAUUCGAUUAAGUUUGAUCUUAUUCUUAAUUCUUUCCCGCCAUUGGUUUUCCAAAAAAAAUAAAAGUUUACCAAAAAAUAAAAGUUUGCCUGAUUAAUUCAUUGCAUUUAAACACUCAAUAGUAUAAGAAAGAUACCAUUUUUCUUGUCCAAAUCUUGAAAUCUCGAGGUUAAGAUUUCUUGUCCAAAUCUUGAAAUCUCAAUGGUAUUUGGCAAUGGAGAAGAAGAUGGUGUAUCACUAUUUGGAAUGGUUUUAAGAAUUAGUUGUUUAUGUUUUUUGUUUAAGUAAAAUGAGAAGUAAAAAAAAAACUGAAAUUUGCAAUGGAUUUCUUAAUUUUUUAUUUAUCCUGAUUUUGUUAUUCUUCACUUUAUCAUUAAGAAUAUUAGAAGGAAAUCAGUUUUAAUUUUUUUUUUAAAAAGUUCAACUUCUCGUAGAAAAUGGAGGGUGGGAGAGGGGGAGGAACCAGUUAUUUUUAUUUUUUUAAAAAAAUUAUAAUAUAUUUAAAAUAAUUUUUGGACCCACACAACAUGUGUCAUUAUUUAAUUGGAUUUUUAACUAAUAGGCUUUUUAAAACAAAUUCAUUUGCCAUGUGUCGUUUUCUUAUUGGUCCAUUUUGCCACAUCAGCUGAGUGUGUUACACACACUCUAUACCUUUUGUUGAUUGUAUAAAAAAGGCCUGAUUGGAUAAAAAUUCGAGUGGGUUAGGGGUCUGAUAGGUACAGACCUUAGUUGAGGGGUUUAAGUAAAAUUUUGGGACAACUUUAAGUGUAUAUCAAUGACUUAAGCCUAUUUUUAUUCAUGUCAUCUUUGGUAAUUAUUCAUUAAAGUGGAUUAAAUAAGUGUAUGAAUUAGACUUGAUGUUAUUUUUGCCUUAAUUAGUCCAUAAUUUUAUUUUAACAGAUUUUAUCUUUUACGAUAAAUUGUGACAUAAGUUAUCACAUUGAGUGGUUAAACCAUUCUAAUUGUUUCUUGGUUCCUAUUUCAGAAAUGAGUUAACAGGGACAAACUUAAAUCAUUCCAACUGGGAGUUAUGGAUGUCGAGCAAAGAGAUAAAGUGGAAGGACACAUCGUCGAAGGGAAUGUUUUCGAGGUCGUGAGAUCAUAUGAAAUGGUGUCCCCAGAGCGAGACAAAAUCUAUUAUGAACUAUGAGAAGAUAAAGAGAGAAGAAAUUGAAAGAAUUCAAGUCUUUUAAGAUGACCCCUAACAUUACAGUUGCUAGUUUUAUUCAUUUGUUUGAAUUAAAACGUGAAGAACUAGAAACUAUGUAGAAAUCUUAGAUUGGGAAGCAUUAGCUAUUUUACUAAAUUUUCUCCGUGACCCUUGGGACGAGAGAUUAAUUGAUAUUUAUCACG
Molecule: long non-coding RNA, 2989 nt
Filed under: Capsicum annuum
Lineage: Eukaryota; Viridiplantae; Streptophyta; Magnoliopsida; Solanales; Solanaceae
Description: long non-coding RNA (CANN_LNC020413)
Source: RNAcentral